GAUGAACGCUGGCUACAGGCUUAACACAUGCAAGUCGAGGGGAAACGACGGGGAAGCUUGCUUCCCCGGGCGUCGACCGGCGCACGGGUGAGUAACGCGUAUCCAACCUGCCUCUGACUAAGGGAUAACCCGUCGAAAGUCGGCCUAAUACCUCAUGGUAUCGUCUGCGGGCAUCCAACGACGAUUAAAGAUUUCAUCGGUCAGGGAUGGGGAUGCGUCUGAUUAGCUUGUUGGCGGGGUAACGGCCCACCAAGGCUACGAUCAGUAGGGGUUCUGAGAGGAAGGUCCCCCACAUUGGAACUGAGACACGGUCCAAACUCCUACGGGAGGCAGCAGUGAGGAAUAUUGGUCAAUGGGCGAGAGCCUGAACCAGCCAAGUAGCGUGCAGGAAGACGGCCCUAUGGGUUGUAAACUGCUUUUAUGCGGGGAUAAAGUGAGGGACGUGUCCCUCAUUGCAGGUACCGCAUGAAUAAGGACCGGCUAAUUCCGUG
RNAcentral lists this ribosomal RNA (491 nucleotides) under uncultured bacterium. RNAcentral describes it as "partial 16S ribosomal RNA". It matches the Rfam family "Bacterial small subunit ribosomal RNA", at positions 28 to 507 of the family's 1533-position model. The record is from RNAcentral.